GGGGCCGUCGUUCAGCUGGUUAGGACGCCAGAUUGUCAAUCUGGAGGUCGCGGGUUCAAAUCCCGUCGGCCCCG
This is a non-coding RNA of Nitrospirae bacterium RBG_19FT_COMBO_58_9, 74 nucleotides long. Lineage: Bacteria; Pseudomonadati; Nitrospirota. The record is from Rfam.